GACGAACGCUGGCGGCGUGCCUAAUACAUGCAAGUUGAGCGAUGAAGAUUGGUGCUUGCACCAAUUUGCAGAGCAGCGAACGGGUGAGUAACGCGUGGGGAAUCUGCCUUUGAGCGGGGGACAACAUUUGGAAACGAAUGCUAAUACCGCAUAACAACUUUAAACAUAAGUUUUAAGUUUGAAAGAUGCAAUUGCAUCACUCAAAGAUGAUCCCGCGUUGUAUUAGCUAGUUGGUGAGGUAAAGGCUCACCAAGGCGAUGAUACAUAGCCGACCUGAGAGGGUGAUCGGCCACAUUGGGACUGAGACACGGCCCAAACUCCUACGGGAGGCAGCAGUAGGGAAUCUUCGGCAAUGGACGAAAGUCUGACCGAGCAACGCCGCGUGAGUGAAGAAGGUUUUCGGAUCGGAAAACUCUGUUGGUAGAGAAGAACGUUGGUGAGAGUGGAAAGCUCAUCAAGUGACGGUAACUACCCAGAAAGGGACGGCUAACUACGUG
This 497-nucleotide ribosomal RNA is filed under the name uncultured bacterium. RNAcentral describes it as "partial 16S ribosomal RNA". It matches the Rfam family "Bacterial small subunit ribosomal RNA", at positions 28 to 507 of the family's 1533-position model. The record is from RNAcentral.